Molecule: ribosomal RNA, 226 nt
Filed under: Ixodes scapularis (black-legged tick)
Lineage: Eukaryota; Metazoa; Arthropoda; Arachnida; Ixodida; Ixodidae
Description: eukaryotic small subunit ribosomal RNA
Rfam family: Eukaryotic small subunit ribosomal RNA
Source: RNAcentral
UUCUGGGAGGAUUGACAGAUUGAGAGCUCUUUCUUGAUUCGGUGAGAAGUGGUGCAUGUCCGUUCUUAGUUGGUGGAGCGAUUUGUGUGGUCAAUUCUGAUAACGAACGAGACUCUAGUCGAAUAAAUAGGUGCGUGGUUUCCUAAACCUUGCACCUUUCUUAGAGGGACAAGAGGCUCCUAGCCGCACGAAACAGAGCAAUAACAGGUCUGUGAUGCCCUUAGAU